This is a long non-coding RNA of Peromyscus leucopus (white-footed mouse), 1093 nucleotides long. RefSeq lists it as uncharacterized. The transcript has 2 exons. The record is from RefSeq and is a predicted model, not a curated record. Lineage: Eukaryota; Metazoa; Chordata; Mammalia; Rodentia; Cricetidae.
CCUUGGCAUCGGAUCCAUGGGCACCAGCUGAGGACAGGGUCCCCUCCCUUUGCCUGCCACAUAAAUAUUGGCAACGAGGACCCAGACUCUGAAGGACAGGACAUUCCAAAGAAAAUAGUUUUCAUUUUAAGUUGCCUUUAAAUGUGUAUAUAUAUAUAUGUGUGUGUGUGUGUGCAUACAUAUACAUAUAUAUAUAACAUAUACUGCAUAUUAUAUAUAUUGAAAUUGCACCUGUUUUGGCAUGAGGGUGAAGGCGAGUGAAAGAAGGUGACCGAGCCAGGAGGCGAGAGCGCACAGAUGGCUUGGUGGUGGUAUGGUGUGACGUGGAGAGCCGAAUGACAGAUGAAGUGCCACAUGAGGACACAAUGGAGGGAGCGCGCCAUCGCUAAGACCCCAAGGAAGAAGCGUGGCGAGCCCCGACAGUGGUGCUGGCCUCCGUCACCUCCCCGCCGAAGAUGGCCGUGUCCUCUAGCCUGGUCUGUAUGUACCACGAUUGCAGGUGCUGCAGGGAGGGGCUGCGUGGGCAGCGGGGCUGUGGAAUGGCGAGGGUACCUUUGCGUGGAUCCCAUUGGCACCGUCCACUCUUAGAAGUGUGGCUGGAUUUUCUCCUUCCUCUCUCUUUCAUCAUCACCAUCUGGGUCCCACUGCUUGGCACCCAACCAAGCCGAUGCCGCCCCAAUUGGCAGUACUGCACUGGCAUGUGACCAGUGACUCAGAUUCUGGCACUGCGGCAGACGGAGAGCCGCCAAACUUGCUCAGGAUAACCCCUUGGCGACCACAGAGGGAGAGGGGUCAUGUGCACGGAAGGGCAGGCUGGGUGGAGAGCUCCAUGAUGGGAAGUGGCACACCAGGCUGCCCUUCCCAGAUGGACUAAAGCUGGCAUUCCCCACAGUCUUCCACCUCUGCUGGUCUCCGGACUGCACACUCGUCUCUUUCCACCUCCACUAGCCCCAGUAAGGGGAUUUAGAUGGCACUGGACUGUUUCUGAGCAGCUAGGCAAAGGAAUCCGGAGCACAGAGGGACAGGACAUCAUCUACAGCCACACCUGAAGUCAGUGGCUGUGGACUUCUCUGGGCAGCUAGGACAGGAAAAA